Molecule: unclassified non-coding RNA, 1407 nt
Filed under: uncultured fungus
Lineage: Eukaryota; Fungi
Description: sequence contains 18S rRNA gene, ITS1, 5.8S rRNA gene, ITS2, 28S rRNA gene
Rfam family: Eukaryotic large subunit ribosomal RNA (bases 466-1407)
Source: RNAcentral
GGAAGGAUCAUUACCGAGAGUUGUAGGCUUCUGUCUACCAUCUCUUACCCAUGUCUUUUGCGUACUACACGUUUCCUCGGCAGGUCCGCCUGCCGUUAGGACAAUUUAAACCAUUUGCAGUUGCAGUCAGCGUCUGAAAAACUUAAUAAUUACAACUUUUAACAACGGAUCUCUUGGUUCUGGCAUCGAUGAAGAACGCAGCGAAAUGCGAUAAGUAGUGUGAAUUGCAGAAUUCAGUGAAUCAUCGAAUCUUUGAACGCACAUUGCGCCCCUUGGUAUUCCAUGGGGCAUGCCUGUUCGAGCGUCAUUUGUACCUUCAAGCUCUGCUUGGUGUUGGGUGUUUGUCCCGCCUCUGUGCGUGGACUCGCCUUAAAGCAAUUGGCAGCCGACGUAUUGUUUCGGAGCGCAGCACAAAUUGCGCUUUGUAGCUAUUACGACAGCAUCCAUCAAGCCUUUUUUCACGCUUGACCUCGGAUCAGGUAGGGAUACCCGCUGAACUUAAGCAUAUCAAUAAGCGGAGGAAAAGAAACCAACAGGGAUUGCCCUAGUAACGGCGAGUGAAGCGGCAACAGCUCAAAUUUGAAAUCUGGCGUCUUUGGCGUCCGAGUUGUAAUUUGCAGAGGGCGCUUUGGCGUUGGCAGCGGUCCAAGUUCCUUGGAACAGGACGUCACAGAGGGUGAGAAUCCCGUACGUGGUCGCUGGCCUUCGCCGUGUAAAGCCCCUUCGACGAGUCGAGUUGUUUGGGAAUGCAGCUCUAAAUGGGAGGUAAAUUUCUUCUAAAGCUAAAUACUGGCCAGAGACCGAUAGCGCACAAGUAGAGUGAUCGAAAGAUGAAAAGCACUUUGGAAAGAGAGUCAAACAGCACGUGAAAUUGUUAAAAGGGAAGCGCUUGCAACCAGACUUGCCUGCAGUUGCUCAUCUGGACUUUUGUCCAGUGCAUUCUUCUGUAGGCAGGCCAGCAUCAGUUUGGGCGGUUAGAUAAAGGUCUCUGUCAUGUACCUCUCUUCGGGGAGAACUUAUAGGGGAGACGACAUGUAACCAGCCUGGACUGAGGUCCGCGCAUUUGCUAGGAUGCUGGCGUAAUGGUUGUAAGCGGCCCGUCUUGAAACACGGACCAAGGAGUCUAACAUCUAUGCGAGUGUUUGGGUGUCAAGCCCGAGCGCGCAAUGAAAGUGAACGGAGGUGGGAACCCGCAAGGGUGCACCAUCGACCGAUCCUGAUGUCUUCGGAUGGAUUUGAGUAAGAGCAUAGCUGUUGGGACCCGAAAGAUGGUGAACUAUGCUUGAAUAGGGUGAAGCCAGAGGAAACUCUGGUGGAGGCUCGCAGCGGUUCUGACGUGCAAAUCGAUCGUCAAAUUUGGGCAUAGGGGCGAAAGACUAAUCGAACUAUCUAGUAGCUGGUUCCUGC